GAUGAAGAACGUAGCGAAAUGCGAUAAGUAAUGUGAAUUGCAGAAUUCAGUGAAUCAUCGAAUCUUUGAACGCACCUUGCACCCUUUGGUAUUCCGAAGGGUAUGCUCGUUUGAGUGUCAUUGUACUCUCACACUUCCGAUCGUUUGGAUCGGGAGCGGUGGACUUGGGUGUUGCUGCUUUACUGUGGCUCACCUUAAAUGCAUUAGUGCACCUUUCGGUUGGACAUAGUACGGCGUGAUAAGUGUCUUCGCCGGCACCUCACAGAGGGUGGCUGAUCGGGAGCUCUGUGCUUCAAACCGUCCUCGGACAAAAGCUGACAACUUGACCUCAAAUCGAGUAGGACUACCCGCUGAACUUAAGCAUAUCAAUAAGCGGAGGA
RNAcentral lists this unclassified non-coding RNA (380 nucleotides) under soil metagenome. Its description in RNAcentral is "partial contains 5.8S ribosomal RNA, internal transcribed spacer 2, and large subunit ribosomal RNA". The stretch from base 1 to 120 matches the Rfam family "5.8S ribosomal RNA", at positions 35 to 154 of the family's 154-position model. The record is from RNAcentral.